GAAAAGGGUCUUCUGGUGGUGUAUUUAUGGCACCAUCAUUGAGCUUAAGUCUAUGGUUUUAUUAAUUUCCUCAACUACCAACUUUAUUUCUGACUCAUUUACAUAUAAGCCCUCUUCCAAUAACCCUCCAAAGAUAAAAGAGUUGUUUUCUUCAACUUUAAAUUCCAUUUCUUCUUCAAAUAACUUCUUUUCUUGUGGGAACUCUAUUGGAAACUCAUCUUC
This 222-nucleotide unclassified non-coding RNA is filed under the name Hevea brasiliensis (rubber tree). Lineage: Eukaryota; Viridiplantae; Streptophyta; Magnoliopsida; Malpighiales; Euphorbiaceae. The record is from RNAcentral.